RNAcentral lists this ribosomal RNA (253 nucleotides) under uncultured bacterium. Its description in RNAcentral is "partial 16S ribosomal RNA". It matches the Rfam family "Bacterial small subunit ribosomal RNA", at positions 524 to 776 of the family's 1533-position model. The record is from RNAcentral.
GACGAACCGUGCGAACGUUAUUCGGAAUCACUGGGCUUAAAGGGCGCGUAGGCGGGUUUGCAAGUCUGCGGUGAAAGCCUCCAGCUUAACUGGAGAAGUGCCGUGGAUACUGCGAAUCUUGAGGAGGGUAGGGGCAUCUGGAACGUUGGGUGGAGCGGUGAAAUGCGUUGAUAUCCAACGGAACUCCGGUGGCGAAGGCGAGGUGCUGGACCCUUUCUGACGCUGAGGCGCGAAAGCCAGGGGAGCGAACGGG